This 317-nucleotide ribosomal RNA is filed under the name Priestia megaterium. RNAcentral's name for it is "bacterial SSU rRNA". It matches the Rfam family "Bacterial small subunit ribosomal RNA", at positions 56 to 358 of the family's 1533-position model. Lineage: Bacteria; Bacillati; Bacillota; Bacilli; Caryophanales; Bacillaceae. The record is from RNAcentral.
UGCACCUCGAGCGACUGCAUUAGAAGCUUGCUUCUAUGACGUUAGCGGCGGACGGGUGAGUAACACGUGGGCAACCUGCCUGUAAGACUGGGAUAACUCCGGGAAACCGGAGCUAAUACCGGAUAACAUUUUUUCUUGCAUAAGAGAAAAUUGAAAAGAUGGUUUCGGCUAUCACUUACAGAUGGGCCCGCGGUGCAUUAGCUAGUUGGUGAGGUAACGGCUCACCAAGGCAACGAUUGCAUAGCCGACCUGAGAGGGUGAUCGGCCACACUGGGACUGAGACACGGCCCAGACUCCUACGGGAGGCAGCAGGGGGA